CGGUUGUCUGCAAGAGAUCACCUAGUCAUUUGAUGGAGUUUGCACAUUGGUGUCGUCGGAGGCUCCACGCGGUGGUGAUUCUUUCCGGAACGAAUAUCCGAUCUUGCUCCUCUUUCCUUUUGCUUUGAUUUUGUUUAUGUGGUUUGUGGUGAUAUUGACUUUAUGAAUGGUGGUGUUGAUUUAAUUUAAUGGUGAUAUUAUGGAAAUUUCGAAGGUUGGUGAGAGAUGUUGGUGAUGAUGGAGAUGUAAGGUUGAUUGAAGAUGGAGGUCUUUGGUGAGUGUUUUAAAGAGAAAAUUGGAUUGUUAUUGUUGGUAACAAGUUUGUGUUGUAAUUUUUUGUGGAGUGUAUAGUGUAUUCUUAUGUCUCCCUAGUGUGUAAAAGCUCUCAAUUUAUACCGGUUAUGUCAUUAAACUGAAUUAUUUGCUUUGAUUCACUUUUCAAAUUGAUUUUAAAGAAGCUAUUGAAUGAG
Molecule: long non-coding RNA, 470 nt
Filed under: Lathyrus oleraceus (garden pea)
Lineage: Eukaryota; Viridiplantae; Streptophyta; Magnoliopsida; Fabales; Fabaceae
Description: Pisum sativum (pea) long non-coding RNA (PSAT_LNC042196)
Source: RNAcentral